This 731-nucleotide long non-coding RNA is filed under the name Heterocephalus glaber (naked mole-rat). RNAcentral describes it as "lncRNA (ENSHGLG00000031788.2)". Lineage: Eukaryota; Metazoa; Chordata; Mammalia; Rodentia; Bathyergidae. The record is from RNAcentral.
GUAAGAAAACCAGACCUGAUUCUUUCAUGGGGGCCUUUCAUCAGAAACCUGGGGAACAUUCUGUGUGACCUCAUAAAGGACUGGGCCACCUAGGAUGGGACUCUGUUUUCUCACCUCUACAAGGGGAAGUUGUCUCAGGACACAUGGGCUGUUGUUCUUCAUGCAUGGAGUUAUAUACAUCCUGUACGCAGCUAAUAAGCUGGUUACAUAAUGCUAGUAUUUUUUGGAAAUCGGUCAACCAAGAGCUUGGCAGAGGUCUGCACAGUAAGCACGGUGCAGGCAGGGAUUCCUCACACUCCAGUGGAGACCCUGGGGCAGGACUUCCAGGAUAACAAGAGCAGGUGCACCUUUUCUAUCUUUGACUCCUCAAUGGAGCUGAAAUCCCAGGUGCAGCCCCAGGAUGAGCGUCUCCAGGACCACUUGGUGCCUCCUGCGUUCUCUGAUGAAGAGCCCCAGGCUCCAGCCCACGCUGAUGUCCCACCUGCAGAGCUCGUGCCAACUGCAACUGCAGCUCCCUCACCAGUUCUGACCCCACAACAAGAGCCAGGACCUGAAACCCCUUCUCCACCAGCUGCAGAGCUGCAACUCCUGGUGGCUCCACAGCAAGUGCUAUCUCUUGAGCUCUACUUGGGGUCAACCCUUGACCCAUACCUGGAAUUCCUCUCCCUUAUAGAUUUAGUUAUUAUUAUAUUUAUUGUUACUCUUAUUUUCCAGAGACAGGUCAAUGACAG